Molecule: ribosomal RNA, 419 nt
Filed under: bacterium
Lineage: Bacteria
Description: partial 16S ribosomal RNA
Rfam family: Bacterial small subunit ribosomal RNA
Source: RNAcentral
UGGGGGAUAUUGCACAAUGGGCGAAAGCCUGAUGCAGCGACGCCGCGUGGGGGAUGAAGGCCUUCGGGUUGUAAACUUCUUUUGCUCUGAACAAGGCAUGCUAAUGGGUGUGUUGAGUGUAGGGGUUGAUUAGCGCCGGCUAACUACGUGCCAGCAGCCGCGGUAAUACGUAGGGCGCGAGCGUUGUCCGGAAUUAUUGGGCGUAAAGGGCUUGUAGGUGGCUGGUUGCGUCUGUCGUGAAAGCUCAUGGCUUAACUGUGGGUUUGCGGUGGGUACUGGCUGGCUUGAGUGCAGUAGGGGAAGCUGGAAUUCCUGGUGUAGCGGUGGAAUGCGCAGAUAUCAGGAGGAAUACCGGUGGCGAAGGCGGGUCUCUGGGCUGUUACUGACACUGAGGAGCGAAAGCAUGGGGAGCGAACAGG